Amphimedon queenslandica is the source of this 1019-nucleotide long non-coding RNA. RefSeq lists it as uncharacterized. Lineage: Eukaryota; Metazoa; Porifera; Demospongiae; Haplosclerida; Niphatidae. The record is from RefSeq and is a predicted model, not a curated record. The transcript is spliced from 3 exons.
ACCAAUGCAUGUUCCUAUUAUUAGUAAUUUAGUGUAUGUCAGAGGUCAGCAUGGAUUAACUUGGUCUUUAGCUACAUGUACAUUUACAUGUACUUUUAGUACAUUCGCAUCUGAUAGUAUCUUAUGUAAACUGUAACCAAACUGGACUAAAGUGUAGUCUCACUAUAGCCAGACCAUUCCUCAGCCUUUUGUCCACCCAAAUGACUGUAGGCUGGGGUAUGGUUUGGCUAAUGAGACUAUCUGAACUGGAUGGACAUACACGUACCAACAUGGUUUGUAUGGACCCCCAAGGCGCUAAUGUUAUUUUAAUUCAAUGAUUAUGAUUACAAAUAUUUACAAUAAUGAUAUUCAUUCAUAAUAAAUACAGAUGGUUGCAGAAUCUUUGCAACUUCUAGAUCAAUAUUUUGAAAUCUGCAAUCACUACUACACUCCUUAUAAGGAGGUGACACUUACAUUGCUUGCGUGUAAUAAUAAUUAAAAUCAUUGAACACGCCCACAUUAGAUUGUACAUGUGGUCAUAGGAAGCCAUUUUAAUAUUCACACUUACUUAAACGAGAAGGUGCGGUAUAAAAGGCGGUGCCCUGGGCAUGAUGGCUUUCGUUUUUUCACGUGUAAAAAUGUCUGCUCUAGAUGAUGUUGCUUCUUCAAGGAAAAACGCAGGCAGAGAGGGGUUUUGGUACCAAAUUGAGUUACAUUUUACUCUCAAAGAAGACAAGGACCAGUUCUAGUUAGGCUUGAUCAAGUUGAGGGGUCUUUAGCCACUAAAAGAAGGCGCUGGAAAUGCUGUCUCACAUUUAGUCGGGAAAGAGGAUCAGUUAGAGGCUCUAUCACAUGAUACUAGUUAUACUCAAUACUUCAGGUAUUGGUGAUGGGGGACGAAGAGCAGCCAUUUUGUGCAUAGAUAUAGGAUCGGCUAUUGGGACGCACAUGUUGGUGAUAGUGUCGUAUGGUUGACCGAAGGGUGAUCAAUUACAGUCAGUAUAAGUCAUGUGAUUUGUGCUGAAUUUCAGUUCAAUGAU